RNAcentral lists this ribosomal RNA (686 nucleotides) under Pantoea agglomerans. RNAcentral's name for it is "bacterial SSU rRNA". It matches the Rfam family "Bacterial small subunit ribosomal RNA", at positions 770 to 1457 of the family's 1533-position model. Lineage: Bacteria; Pseudomonadati; Pseudomonadota; Gammaproteobacteria; Enterobacterales; Erwiniaceae. The record is from RNAcentral.
AAACAGGAUUAGAUUCCUGGUAGUCCACGCCGUAAACGACGUCGACUAGGAGGUUGUUCCCUUGAAGAGUGGCUUCCGGAGCUAACGCGUUAAGUCGACCGCCUGGGGAGUACGGCCGCAAGGUUAAAACUCAAAUGAAUUGACGGGGGCCCGCACAAGCGGUGGAGCAUGUGGUUUAAUUCGAUGCAACGCGAAGAACCUUACCUACUCUUGACAUCCAGAGAACUUAGCAGAGAUGCUUUGGUGCCUUCGGGAACUCUGAGACAGGUGCUGCAUGGCUGUCGUCAGCUCGUGUUGUGAAAUGUUGGGUUAAGUCCCGCAACGAGCGCAACCCUUAUCCUUUGUUGCCAGCGAUUCGGUCGGGAACUCAAAGGAGACUGCCGGUGAUAAACCGGAGGAAGGUGGGGAUGACGUCAAGUCAUCAUGGCCCUUACGAGUAGGGCUACACACGUGCUACAAUGGCGCAUACAAAGAGAAGCGACCUCGCGAGAGCAAGCGGACCUCACAAAGUGCGUCGUAGUCCGGAUCGGAGUCUGCAACUCGACUCCGUGAAGUCGGAAUCGCUAGUAAUCGUGGAUCAGAAUGCCACGGUGAAUACGUUCCCGGGCCUUGUACACACCGCCCGUCACACCAUGGGAGUGGGUUGCAAAAGAAGUAGGUAGCUUAACCUUCGGGAGGGCGCUUAU